GAGAGAAAAAAUGGCGGAUUGCUGACUACCUUCAUAUUCCCUACGUCAGGGAGAUUGACGCGGGACAUUCUUUAUAGUAAUAAAGUGGCAUCGGUGACGGAAGACGAACGAUGCACCCUGGAUAAUAACAGGGGCGUGAUUAAUUACUCGAUUUUACCGAAAUGCUGACUAAACGCCCUUCCCAUAUACCUGGCUUGAAACGAAGUAACUCUGCAGCCGCCAAAUGCUCUUUUAAUCUCACCCAGCGUUACGGCGAGUUAUUAUCGAGAAUCGCUGUGAAAUGAGGGUAAGCCUGGAAAUAUUACAAAAAGGAGAAAAAAAAAGUACCCACACCACAGACUCCCGGCAUUCCAUUGUCUUACCGGGAGAGCAGAACCCUCGUGCCGUAACGGCAAUGGACGGAAGUGAACUUGGAAAAGAAUGAGCUCGCAAAAUAAAAAAAAAAGAGAAAAGGAAAAAGGGAUCAACCGCCCUACCACCUAUCCAGUCAGACCUCCCACCUACACCGUAAAGCUCGAAAGCAAAAAAUCGUGGGUUCAGGGAAAAAAGAGAAAGAUACAAAAUAGAGGAAAUGAAAAAAAAAGUGAACAUUCUCUUUUUCAAAUAGAUACACUGCACUGAUAAUUUGUUUCCUAUCACCGGAUGCAUCCUGCUCUUAGGAUUCUGCACGCAUGCGUCUGCGGACACCUGUUCGACGUGUGCGAAAUGCGAAACAGCUAAAAUAACGUCGUCGGAUUCUCGUCUCACGUAGAGACUCGUUUGGCAAAACGAGUAUCGGAAAUGGGACGAAUAGCAUAGUCACCAGUUAGUUAUGUAAGACUUUACCUGCGUUGACGUCGUCCCAGCAUCUCAAGUUAAAAAAGUAACCUAGAAACCCUCGGGCAACCCUGGAUAAUACAUUAUAACAUAGAAGUGUCCCGAAUUUACAUCAUCCAAAACGUGCUGGCAUGUUGUCUCAAAAGUAAAACAAUUUCGUGCAAUCAUACUGGCUGUUCUAAUCCAGUAAAAAUGUCCGAGUAAUUUCAUUUGAGACAGAAUAUCCGUAACUCAGAGAAGAAAGAAAACUAAAAGGAAAAGAGAAAAACCUAACCUACAAUUUUAACAUGAUAUCACUUAGCAAAGUGGCACUCGUAUUCGUAUACAUACCUAACCUCCAAUGGAUUAAUUACCAUUUAUCACUAAAUUCCAGCGACGUAUUCGACGAUCGCACAGUCAAUAAAACUUCAUCACCGUGCACGUUAAAUCGUUACUCGAAAACGACACAAGAAACAAUAAGCAGACGUCAGUUGUGUUGUAUAAGAGAGAAAAUCCUUUUUCCAAUUGUGAAAGUGGCUAAACUGAUGUUCUCCUUAAUAAGAUUAAUGGAAGAAUAGGUUAUAGCAGAGAAAGAUAAACCGAGGAUAAGAAAACACGAGACGAAGUGACAGCUGCUGUCGGAAAGAUUUGCAGAUCUUCCUGACGAAGGUCAGCCAAACGUUUCGGAAGUGCUCCUGGUACUAGGCAAUGACUUUGGCCAAACGGUAUCGUCAGGUAUCAUGAAUGGUCCAUGUGUACCAUUCAGCCGAGAAACGCAUCCCCGGGUCAAAGAUCGAUGCCUGGCGGUGUCAGGGUGUGCGAUACAGGAUGUAUAAGGUGUCUUCCAGGUGAGGGUUGAGUUUCCAUGGUAACCAAGCUUGGUGCCCUGGCUCCUAGGUCAGGGCCACUGCCCCAUACUCUUUACCCUCAUGUGCAAUAGCUUAUAACAGUCCCUACUCCUUCGCAGACCUACUUGGCCCUUAUGUUUCUUCUUUCUGUGGCAGCGUACAACUGAACUCUUACUCUACUUUUCAGCAUCCCUAGGGCAUAAUAAAUUCUCUGUAUUGAGAUCCCUCACCAGGAACACUUUCCAAGGGACUUCAACACCUGUCACCUGAUUUUCUUACUAAGGAUGGAUAACCUCACGUUCAGGAUACAUAGCAUCUCUACUUGAUCUUGGGGGUUGAAAACGUUCAAGGAAAAGGACCGUCGGUAGCUUUAACUCCCAAGUGAGAUGCGUGCCGCGUUAGGGGAUCGAUAACGUAGCUACCCUUACGCAGCCUCUCACUCUGUCCGCUCGUUCGUUCUCUCUCGUCUUUCUCUCCACGUGUAUCAACCGUCUUUCUCUUUCUUCAUCUCUUCGUCUUUCUUGCUCUGCUAAAAUGUGAACGGUCCAAGUUGCGUCCCGGGACCUUCGACGCUCUCCGUACUUCAUCCUAUGUAAAAGGUUGGUAUAAGGUGGGAUACGUAUGUAUAUAAUUGGUAGCUUUCAGAAAAUCCUCAGACUAUGUCGACGAGAUGGAAUUGCAAGGGAUGCUGCAUAUUUAAUAGGACGACCAUAUAAAGCCGUCAGGAAAAAUUCUGAUAUGGUCCAGAAAAAAGCCUUUCGCGUCUCGACGCUCUACUGCCUAGAUGGAUAUCCAGAACGAACGGAACUCUCGAUAUAUGCAGAUUACGCUGAGUGAAUUUUCAAGCUAGGAACUCGGACCAAUCCGAAUUUCUCGACUUGAUUCAAACCCUUGGAAUAUUCAAUUACCCUUUCUCGGUCCUUCAGUCAAAUGUGAAUCAACCAUAGAGUUAAUGCAAGACCCUGAACUAAAAGCUGGAGUUUGCUUUUCCCCAUGACUUGUACUUUUUUUUUAAAGUUUACCCUUUUCUCGCGAAUUCCAAUUACAAUGCUUGACGAGUCCCGCGUGGAAUUCGUACGUAGGUACGUCAAGUACCUGAUUCUUGUAGUCUCUGUGAUCUCAAUGAGAACUAGGCUUAAGAGAGAGAGGGUUAAAAACAAAACAAAAAUAUAAAAACUGUAUUCUAGUAUACAACAUUCGGACUCAAACCACUUAAUCUUAUCUCAUUGUCAGUAAAUUGAGCAACGACGAAAAUAUCAAAAGAUAUUGUAUCUCGAGAAGCAAAAAAUAAAAUAGAAGAUUUAUGAAAAAAAAAAUUGUCAAAGACAAAGAAAACCCUUCUCAUCAAUUACCCCUAAGCGAAUACCAUUUGCCACUGAAUGAUGUAGUCGGUUACACUAGUCUUUUGAAUUUUGAAACACUAUGAAUCGCCCUGUAUCAAAUAUACUGUAUGGAUACAUUCUCUAUAAAAAUAUACACAUAUGUAUUUCCUCUAUUUUCAUAUAUUUAUCCUAUUUCCGUUCCACUGACUGCUUCCCUAAAAACACCAAUAAAACUCUACACUCCCAGCAGCAUGUUUGCUUUGACAGUGUGAGCGUAAAGUUUCGUGAGGCUGGAGCCUUCGACAUAGAAACAAUAUGGUGGCUGGUUUCACCCACAAGAUCGCGAACACAUCGACUACCAAUUGAGUGCACCCUUGAUAUAAUAAAAGUCUCCUCUUACCACCCCUUCCUUUAACGUUGCUCAGUAUACCAAAAGAAAAUAAAUGCAGAGUGCACUCGUGGCUCGAUUCUUGAUUCCGACUGGUUCAUCUUUUUAUCUUAAGCGUGCGAUUCGAGUGGUACGGUUUUUCCUCUACUACUUUUAUGCAUAAGAUUACAUAUAUACGUCAAUAUAUAAAUAUAUAUAUAUAGACUGCUUAUAUUUUCAUAUAUAAAUAUCUCUACCCCAUCUCUUUAAUCUCAAUCUCGUAAUUCAUCCUUAUUGCUAGUCCAUGACUCGUUACACUAAAUUGGAGUUUGACGAGGAACCUGCGUGUAUCUAUUAAUCCUGAAGAAGGACUCGUAAACUAGAUAACGGUUUCCCUAUCUCAAUUCUACCAUUAGGAAUGGGAAUUAGUCCUUGGUAGAAUAUAUUUGAGGAAUCGGUUGCAUCCCUUUAAGACCGCCAGUAUGUUCGGGGUAAUUCCAUUAAAAAGAAAAAACCUGAAAAUAAAAUAUAAUACAGUCACAGUAGACGAUUUGUCAUUAGAGUGAAACUCAAAUUAGUAAUUGAUUAUCGUUUACCUCGUUUACUGAUUUUUUAAUAUAUUUUUUAUAUUAAUUACAUCAAUUCACUUAGUCAUCCGGGGGAAUCAUCACGAAUCCAGUCUCCGUGGAAAAAUGGCGUCAUCCCUCAUUUAAAGACUUGCCAAUGAACGAUACACUUGAGAACGCGCAUCAUUAUUUACCCCGCCGUUAUAUUAUUUCACCACUACCUUUCUGCUCCCUUUCUUCCCUUGA
Molecule: long non-coding RNA, 4144 nt
Organism: Cephus cinctus (wheat stem sawfly)
Lineage: Eukaryota; Metazoa; Arthropoda; Insecta; Hymenoptera; Cephidae
Exons: 6
Source: RefSeq, a predicted model, not a curated record